UCACAGUCAGUUUGUCUCAGUUCAUUGUCUCCGUCUUAUGACAUUCAAAUGAACCCUGGUUCAGGCUCUCGAUCAGCUUAGUCUGUGGGGAAAUAUUUUCAACCCUAACCACAAACCAUGUAUCGCAUUAGCAGCAGAAAUCCUCACCUCGUGGACACUUCAGUCAUAUGUUCAGAGAGUCAACAUGGAGGUCUGUGCUCUUAACCUCAGGCUGUUGAUCUGUGUGUUAUUCCUGCUGGGUGCACAUGUUCAAGAUGUGGGUAUGUACCGUUAAGUUUCUCAAAGUUAUUGUUCAAAUUUUGGUCUGCAGUUCUUUGACUACGAUUCUCUGAUCUUCCAUUGUGAGGGCUCUCAUGACUCGACUGGAUUGAAAAUUGUACAUCGGUCCAAAGGGGAAUUACUCAAAUGUCAAACUACAGUGACAUCAAAAAGGUCAUCCUGCACUAUUCCUAAUAUUUUUCCAGAGGACAGUGGGCAAUACUGGUGUGAAUCCAGAGAUAGGAAGAGAAGCGACAUCAUCCAUAUCACUGUUACUGCUGGUGAUGUGAUCCUGGAGAGUCCCAUCAGUGUGGUGGAGGGAGAGGCUGUGACUCUGCGCUGCAGACACAAGACGACCUCUACCAAUCUCUCAGCUGAUUUCUACAAAGAUGGCUGCCUUAUCAGAAGAAGCUCUACAGGAAACCUGAGCAUCCCCAGUGUUUCCAAACGUGAUGAAGGAUUCUACAAGUGUAUCUCUGGAGGAAGAGAAUCAGCCAAGAGUCUGAUGGCUGUCCAAGAGUCACACCAAGAGAUUCAUGCGUCCUCAGAUCUUCCGUUCAUAAUCUUCAGAAACGUUCUCCCUGUAGUAAUGAUGGCUUUG
This is a non-coding RNA of Labrus bergylta (ballan wrasse), 859 nucleotides long. The record is from RefSeq and is a predicted model, not a curated record. Lineage: Eukaryota; Metazoa; Chordata; Actinopteri; Labriformes; Labridae.